This 885-nucleotide long non-coding RNA is filed under the name Notechis scutatus (mainland tiger snake). Its description in RNAcentral is "lncRNA (ENSNSUG00000002190.1)". The record is from RNAcentral. Lineage: Eukaryota; Metazoa; Chordata; Lepidosauria; Squamata; Elapidae.
GUUAAACCCUGUAAUGCAAAUGUAAAUGUUCAAAUUCUUCCUAUUUAUUUCCUUGCAGAACCAAAAUUUCCAUUUGAUAAGCAGCCUUGGUAUCUUCUGUUUUAGGUUUUGUCACAUUCUCCUACCAAAGAUCAGUUAGCACAACUCUUGGAAGAGAAGAAUUCUGUUCAGAAGGAGCAGCAAGACAGGAUAAGAGAGCUGACAGAAAUGUUGGUGACCGCAUCCUCUUUUUUGCAAGAGCGGGAGCUAAAGGCUGAGGAUACUCAAUUGGAGAUGGAGAAAUUGUUAGCUUAUGUAAAAUUACAAGAAGAUGAGGUUAAUACACAGAAGAAUUUAGUUCUUGAGGAACAACAGAUGUUUCAGAAACUUGAAGAGGAAUUUAAAGAAGAAACAAAAAAACUAAAAGAAAAGGAGGCUCUGGAGAAAUUUCCAGAGCUGGAAAAAAGAUCUGAAUAUUUCAUAAAAAUCUCUCUUCAGAUCAAGAAUCAGUUUGAUAGCAAGAAAGCUGUAAUAGCCCAGUGGCUUCCUGACAUUUCUCCCCAGGAAGCCAAUAACAUCAAAAGGCUUCAAACAGAAGAUGAGCGUAUAAGUAACAGCCUCUACAACUCGUUGAACAAACUUCAGUACUUGUUUAGCUGCUUGUGCGACAAAAGAAAGGAAUACUACACAAACGUCAGCAAGUACACAAGGGAGCUGCUUGAUGAGCGAAAAAAUCAACAUGCACAGCGAAUGCAAAUUCAGGAACUCGGAAAGCCUCACUUGAAACAGCAGGGACCUGGAUCGCAGCAGCCUGGUCUCUCUGAACUGAUGCAGAGCUUGGAUGGUCUCACUGAGGUAAUGGUUUUCCAAAGAUUGCCUGCUUGGGACUGGAGUUGGGGAAAGCAA